GACAUAGGUGGCGAACGUUAUCCGGAAUUAUUGGGCGUAAAGGAUGCGUAGAUGGUAGAAUAAGUUACUGGUUGAUGCCAAACUCAAUUUGACGGAAGCUGGUAAUACUGCUUUGCUAGAGGACAGGAGAGGUUGAUGGAAUUCUGUGUGGAGCGGUGAAAUGCGUUGAUCUACAGAGGAACACCAAAAAAGGCGAAGGCAGUCAACUAUCCUAUUCCUGACAUUGAGGCAUGAAAGCGUGGGGAGCAAACCGG
Molecule: ribosomal RNA, 254 nt
Filed under: uncultured bacterium
Lineage: Bacteria
Description: partial 16S ribosomal RNA
Rfam family: Bacterial small subunit ribosomal RNA
Source: RNAcentral